Molecule: long non-coding RNA, 284 nt
Organism: Diachasma alloeum
Lineage: Eukaryota; Metazoa; Arthropoda; Insecta; Hymenoptera; Braconidae
Exons: 3
Source: RefSeq, a predicted model, not a curated record
UACAAAAUACUUUACGACUGAAAGCAGAGCAGUGAAUCGAGCGUAGAUAAGGAGCAUCGAGCGCAUUUUGAAUGAUUGUGAGAGAGGGAAUCGAGACGAAUAUUUUUGAAAUAAAACUAUAGGCACCCGAGAAUUUGGUGAUAAACUCCCACUAGUGGCAGAGCAUCCCUCUUUAAAUGGGGGGAGGUUGAUCCAACACCCAACACAUCUCCCAAUCGUGGUGAAUCUAUCCAAGCGUGGUUUCCACAAGUUUUGUAAAAUUAUAUGACAGUCAAAAUAAACGU